Molecule: long non-coding RNA, 663 nt
Organism: Onychostoma macrolepis
Lineage: Eukaryota; Metazoa; Chordata; Actinopteri; Cypriniformes; Cyprinidae
Exons: 4
Source: RefSeq, a predicted model, not a curated record
UGAGUACAUUUUUAAAGCUGUACUUUUACUUGUACUUAAGUACAAAUUAAGCAAAAUAAUCUACUUCGUUACAUUUAAAUCAUAGUUCGUUACUGAGUACACCCAAUUUGAAUUGAUAUUCAAACCUUUGACGGCAUUUCAGUAGCCAAUAAAGAUAUUCGAUCGCAAACGGACCAAUAAAAGCCCUGAUAUCUGAACCAGGAAAAGCAGCUGCUGCAGCACGAGCUGAUCGGACAGUGAGGGAGCUCCGCGUAACUAUGGAGUCAAAGUUUGGAGAAAAAAACGGCAUGUAUCUACCAUAUAAACACCGAUAGCCUACGCAUUGCGUCUCGCUCUCUACUCCGACAGUGAGUUUGAAACGCAUCGCCUCCUGUCAAUUACAGAGUCUGAAUCUGAAUAUCCGCGCGGGAUUGCAGGUCUCUGCAGCAAAGUAAUGGGAGUUACCAGAUCGGGGCGUUUUUUGACCAUGUUACUUGAUUGGCUGACGUCAUAGUGACGAGACCUCAAUCUCGUUUCUGCGCGUCUCACUUUGUGGCGCUGUUUUGACAUGGGGGUGGAGUCAGGGGACGGGGGCGUGUCCAACAGGCCUGGGCAUGCCUCCCUGGAAGUGACGUCAUCGGCCCGAGACGCAGAUCACAGCUGAUCCAGGCACCAUCAUUGAGC